GACGAACGCUGGCGGCGUGCUUAACACAUGCAAGUCGAACGGAAAGGCCCUGCUUUUGUGGGGUGCUCGAGUGGUGAACGGGUGAGUAACACGUGAGUAACCUGCCCUUGACUUUGGGAUAACUUCAGGAAACUGGGGCUAAUACCGGAUAGGAGCUCCUGCUACAUGGUGGGGGUUGGAAAGUUUCGGCGGUUGGGGAUGGACUCGCGGCUUAUCAGCUUGUUGGUGGGGUAGUGGCUUACCAAGGCUUUGACGGGUAGCCGGCCUGAGAGGGUGACCGGCCACAUUGGGACUGAGAUACGGCCCAGACUCAUACGGGAGGGAGCAGUGGGGAAUAUUGCACAAUGGGCGGAAGCCUGAUGCAGCAACGCCGCGUGCGGGAUGACGGCCUUCGGGUUGUAAACCGCUUUCGCCUGUGACGAAGCGUGAGUGACGGUAAUGGGUAAAGAAGCACCGGCUAACUACGU
Molecule: ribosomal RNA, 467 nt
Filed under: uncultured bacterium
Lineage: Bacteria
Description: partial 16S ribosomal RNA
Rfam family: Bacterial small subunit ribosomal RNA
Source: RNAcentral